UAUCGCCGAGGGAAUGAAGUUCUCCCGAAGCACCGGGGCAUAAGCCCCGUGCCUGAACCGCUUAUAAAAGCUGAUGACUUCUGCAUUAUU
Molecule: non-coding RNA, 90 nt
Filed under: Anaerotruncus sp. CAG:390
Lineage: Bacteria; Bacillati; Bacillota; Clostridia; Eubacteriales; Oscillospiraceae
Also listed under: 1 other name
Description: Fluoride riboswitch aptamer (crcB RNA motif)
Rfam family: Fluoride riboswitch aptamer (crcB RNA motif)
Source: Rfam by way of RNAcentral